CAUUCUCUUCCGGUCUGUCUGCCGCCAGGGUAUGGAGUGUGGAGUGGUGGCUGGGAGCGUUUUCUCGGCUCGUCUGCAGCUGCGGUGUGCGGCAGCCUCUUCGGGGGACGUGCAGUCCCAGCUGGCCGCGCCUGGAAGCCCUCUGGGCUCAGUGGGCACGGCCCCACACGGGCGGUCGUUUUAAGGCGAGGAGAACGCUUCUGUGACUACCCUGUGCGGGUUAAUUUUGGAAGUGAUGGUUAAGGGUCCUGGACAAUGAGUGCUCAGUCUGAGAGUUAAAGGCACUCGAAUUGUAGGAACACAGAUGAAGGUGAAACUGAAGAAAAUGAGUCUUUCCCCAAAGGAGAAAGAAGAUGGGGAGGAUGAGAUGUCAGAAGAUAAGGAGAGUGGCAGUAGAGAUGAGUUCAGGAGGCCAGACAGCAAAGAUCAAGUUGCUGGCAGUUUGGUUGCUUCUGCCGCACCUCUCCUUGGCAUGCAGAUAUCUGACCUAUGGCUGUGUUUUCACAAGGUCAUCUACUGCCCAUAGUUCUUCAUUUUUGUAUAUGGUUGUUGUCCUUCAGAAGAAUAGUAGGAAGAUCACUACUGCUCCAGGAAAUAAAAUAAGAAAAAAAAAAGUUUCUCGGAGCCAUUUGCUGAGAAGUUAAUAUCACCACGCAGGAAGGGGCCAAGUUUCCAAAAGACAGGGGGAUUGUCAAGCUCGAGGACCGUGAGAAGAGGGCUGAGAACUCUGGGGAGGAUGAAGUCUUUCCCAGCAUUAUACCACAGCCUGGUCCCGCUCCCAUGGCUCGGACCACAGAGAGUUCCGUGCUUUAUUCGAUGAGUUGGAUGCCCAACAUGGAAGCAUGUUCUGCUCCACGGGACUGAAGUGGCUGAGUCGUGAUGUAGUCCUAAGGCAGUUUUUGGAACUGGUGGAAGACAUUGAGUUUUUCAUGUCCUCUGGAGGAGAAUCUGUGCCUCAGCUCACGAGCAGAGAUUGGGUCCGAGACUUCGCCUUUUUGGUUGUCGUUGUGACACACCUAACCAUGCUGGCUAUUUCUCUAGAAAGGCAUGCACAGGUGCUGGCACAGCUGUAUAAUUCAGCUGACUCAUUCCUGGUGAAAUUGGGUCUUUGGGAGACUCAUUUGGCACAGAACAGCCUGGCCCACUUUCCUGUGCUGGAGUUAGUUUCCGAAAAUGAAAAUGAUGGCCUGCACUACAUCCCUCAAAUUAAAGAGUUGAAGACUAAAUUCCAAAAAAGGUUCUCCGAUUUCACACUUUAUGAGAAUGAACUAAUACUGUUCCGUUCCCCUUUCUCAAUUAGGACUCAUAAUGUGAAUGAAGAGCUACAAAUGGAAGUUAGUGAACUGCAGUGCAAUACUACACUGAAAGCCAAAUACCACGAUGUUGAGAUUCCUGAAUUCUACAGACAUCUUGGGAAUGGUUACCCUAAAUAUAAACACCAUUGUGCAGAGAUUCUGUCCAUGUUUGGAAGUACUUAUGUUUGUAAGCAGCUAUUCUCUGCUGUGAAACUAAAGAAAACCUAAAUGUGGCUCCCAGUUAAAAGAUUCAAGGAUGAAUUCUCUGCUGUGUGUUGCAAUGCAAGGUCCACAGCCUGAUGUUGACUGACAUCUUGUGGAGUAAGAAAGGAAUGUCAGAUUUUGAAUUUCAAAGCUGAAGAGUAAUAAAUUAUGGAACUUUGAACAGUUAUUUCUGUUUCCAAAUUACAUUUUUUUUCAAUGUCAAAUUUAAAGUGCAAUCUCUGGCAUUGUAUUUGUACCUUAUAAGAUAUAAAAAUAACAUUUGAUUAUA
Long non-coding RNA from Capra hircus (goat), 1788 nucleotides. RefSeq lists it as uncharacterized. Lineage: Eukaryota; Metazoa; Chordata; Mammalia; Artiodactyla; Bovidae. The transcript is spliced from 5 exons. The record is from RefSeq and is a predicted model, not a curated record.